RNAcentral lists this ribosomal RNA (465 nucleotides) under Vreelandella stevensii. RNAcentral's name for it is "partial 16S ribosomal RNA". It matches the Rfam family "Bacterial small subunit ribosomal RNA", at positions 338 to 795 of the family's 1533-position model. The record is from RNAcentral. Lineage: Bacteria; Pseudomonadati; Pseudomonadota; Gammaproteobacteria; Oceanospirillales; Halomonadaceae.
CCUACGGGCGGCAGCAGUGGGGAAUAUUGGACAAUGGGGGCAACCCUGAUCCAGCCAUGCCGCGUGUGUGAAGAAGGCCCUCGGGUUGUAAAGCACUUUCAGUGAGGAAGAACGCCUGGUGGUUAAUACCCAUCAGGAAAGACAUCACUCACAGAAGAAGCACCGGCUAACUCCGUGCCAGCAGCCGCGGUAAUACGGAGGGUGCGAGCGUUAAUCGGAAUUACUGGGCGUAAAGCGCGCGUAGGUGGCUUGAUAAGCCGGUUGUGAAAGCCCCGGGCUCAACCUGGGAACGGCAUCCGGAACUGUCAAGCUAGAGUGCAGGAGAGGAAGGUAGAAUUCCCGGUGUAGCGGUGAAAUGCGUAGAGAUCGGUAGGAAUACCAGUGGCGAAGGCGGCCUUCUGGACUGACACUGACACUGAGGUGCGAAAGCGUGGGUAGCAAACAGGAUUAGAUACCCGUGUAGUC